RNAcentral lists this unclassified non-coding RNA (458 nucleotides) under Hevea brasiliensis (rubber tree). Lineage: Eukaryota; Viridiplantae; Streptophyta; Magnoliopsida; Malpighiales; Euphorbiaceae. The record is from RNAcentral.
GGAGAAUGGAAAGCUAGGAUUAGGUUCUACGACCGGGAGUGAUGAGAUUAGAAGGUGUGAUGUCACAGGUUGCAAGGCAAAGGCAAUGGCUUUGACAAAAUACUGUCAUGCUCAUAUCCUCUCGGAUAAAAAGCAGAGGCUCUACAAGGGUUGCACCUUUGUAAUCAAGAGUAUGCAGUCAGGGCCGCUUCUUUGUUCAAAGCCUGUUUUAAGAUCAACUGUUCCCUGCUAUUGCCCUGGUCAUCUACAAAAAGGCGAAAAGUGUUUAGCUCGAGAUUUAAGAAAAGCAGGUCUUAACGUCUCCUCGACUAGUAAGCUUCGUCCCGAUUUCCAUGUAUUGGUAGCUGAAUACAUUCGCCAAAUACAAAGCAAAAGGAGAGCGACGAGAAAGGCUACUGCUGUUAAAAUUGAGAGUAACUGAGAAGGUGAAAACUAAUGAUGACCUCAGUUUGAAUGAG